Long non-coding RNA from Peromyscus eremicus (cactus mouse), 713 nucleotides. RefSeq lists it as uncharacterized. Lineage: Eukaryota; Metazoa; Chordata; Mammalia; Rodentia; Cricetidae. The transcript is spliced from 3 exons. The record is from RefSeq and is a predicted model, not a curated record.
CACGGAGCUUUCAAUGAACUGUCUACUUCCUACGUACUCUGGCAUCUCCCAAGAUAAUUUGCAGUUGAGGGAGAGGGUAAUCAAUGGAAUCCUAGUUGUCCUGGCUACAGAGGUGUGAGCAAGUCCAAGAUGGUGUCUACUUAUGACCAGAGGAAAAAGUGUAACCCGACAACUAUAUAAAGAAUACACCAACUGGGAGAAGAAUAAAUAUAAAGCAGUGGUCUCGGGUUGGAGAUGAGUUUCAGUGCUAGAUUAUCUGCCUAGAACCCCAAGGGAGAAGCUGAGUCUAAGAUGCCCUGCUGGGAACUGAGCCUUCCCACAGUCAAGACAAGGCCUUCCAACAUCAGCCAACAUAAUCAAGACAACAACUCACAGGCACGCACAGAGGCCCAACUUCCAGGUGAUGUUGGUUUUCGUCAAAUUGACAGCAUUCACCAUCAAAUCUAUUAUCUACAAAAGCAGCAGAUAAUUGGGUGAAAGAGACUCUCAAACCCAUCUAAGCUGGAGCUAACAGCAUCACCUUGGGCAGACCGGUUAACUUCCCUGGGCUCAAAAGAAAGUGAAGAGACUGAACCAUGCCACCUUUUCUUUCCCUUCAAGCCUUGUGUCUCAAUGGAGUCUAUUUAUAUUCCGGCAAAGCUAUGAACUGCGUAUAGAAGAAAACCCCUAAGUCCCAGUGGCAGUCAUUUCAACGUAGUACCUAAAUUAGGCUG